Molecule: unclassified non-coding RNA, 1872 nt
Filed under: uncultured fungus
Lineage: Eukaryota; Fungi
Description: sequence contains 18S rRNA gene, ITS1, 5.8S rRNA gene, ITS2, 28S rRNA gene
Rfam family: Eukaryotic large subunit ribosomal RNA (bases 791-1872)
Source: RNAcentral
GGAAGGAUCAUUACCAAAUCCACAACCCUGUAUCUUUCUUGUGUGCCACUGUUUUCCGGGGAGAGGCCGGCCGGCCGACCUCCGGACUUAUUCCAACCACAUUGAAACCCAACCGCUGACAGGUUCUGCGCCGCCGUGUGCGUGCGGAGAGCCCAUACAACACAAAACCAAUGAGAAACAACUUUUAACGGUGGAUCUCUUGGCUCGUGCAUCGAUGAAGAACGCAGCGAAAUGCGAUACGUAGUGUGAAUUGCAGAACUCAGUGAAUCAUCGAAUCUUUGAACGCAAAUUGCGCUCCUGCUUGUCAGGAGCAUGCCUGCUUGAGAAUCGGCAAACCCAACUCACCGGCGUGCUGUGUCGUCGCUUGCGACGCGCGGCGCGCUUCUGUGGCAGUGGAGCUUGCGCGGCCGGUCUGGCUGCGCAUGCACCGAAGAGGAUUGUUGCGUGGGAGGAGGCGGUGCGGCGGGCAGGGCCUCGAGUCCUGCUGGUUGCGCUUGCCCCCUCUGGCGCGCCCGCUGUUCUGUGGUCAGAGAGUCGAUUCUCUGGACAGACCCGGUUCGUCCCUGAGCUGGUGUGGUACGCUCUGGUUGCGCAAGCGACUGCGGCACACAUCUCCAUGUGCAGUGUCUGGGAACGGCCAGCCCUAGCGGCUGGGCUUGCCCGGACGCUGUCGCCAGCCCAUACGCCGGGUGUGCUAGAACGGCACGGGCGCGGGAAUCACCCCCGAAGCACGCCAAAACGAAUUGCCUGCGUCGCGCCGAGCUCUGCCCGGCCGACGCGGCCCGCAUCUUGAUCUCAAGUCAGGCAAGAUUACCCGCUGAAUUUAAGCAUAUUAAUAAGCGGAGGAAAAGAAACCAACAAGGAUUCCCCUAGUAACUGCGAGUGAAGCGGGAAGAGCUCAAAUUUGGAAUCUCCGCGGUCUCCGCGGCGAGUUGUAAACUAGAGAGGCGCUUUCUGCGGCGUGGCUGGUAUAAAUCCUUUGGAACAGGGUGUCAUAGAGGGUGAGAACCCCGUCUUUGACUGGCCAUCAGCCGCUGUACGAGGCGUCUUCGACGAGUCGGGUUGUUUGGGAAUGCAGCCCUAAAUGGAUGGUAAAUUUCAUCUAAAGCUAAAUAUUGGCACGAGACCGAUAGCGAACAAGUAGCGUGAGCGAAAGAUGAAAAGCACUUUGAAAAGAGAGUGAAAAGUACGUGAAACCGUUAAAAGGGAAGCGAUUAAAGCGAGCAGAUGCGCGGGAUCCAUUCAGCCCGAAGCAGGCGGAGCGUGCGGCGGUGGGAGCGCAAGCCCCAUGCGGUGCGGCGAGCCGAGAGCGGGUGCACUUGGGUGUCGUGGCAGGCCAGCAUCGGUCAGGGCUGCAGGAGAAACGUCGGCGGGAGGUAGCCAGCAUGAGCUGCGCGAGCCCGCCGGCCGGCACUGCGGCCGGGACUGAGGAUGACGCGGCGCGCGCCUUGUGUGGCGGUUCAGAAUGCAACGUCGGCGGCUGCGGACUGCGUGCAGUGCGUGGCGGCUGUGCGGGGCAGCAAGAACUAGCGCGCCUCGGAUGUUGGCGAAAUAGCUUUAACCGACCCGUCUUGAAACACGGACCAAGGAGUCUAACAUAUACGCGAGUCUUUGGGUGGCAAACCCGCGGGCGCAAUGAAAGUGAACAGGUGGGAGCCUUCGGGCGCACCAUCGACCGAGCUGGAUGCUUGCUGAAAGCUUUGAGUAGGAGCGUACAUGCUGGGACCCGAAAGAUGGUGAACUAUGCCUGAAUAGGGUGAAGCCAGAGGAAACUCUGGUGGAAGCUCGUAGAGGUUCUGACGCGCAAAUCGAUCUUCAAAUUUGGGUAUAGGGGCGAAAGACUAAUCGAACCAUCUAGUAGCUGGUUCCCUC